RNAcentral lists this ribosomal RNA (427 nucleotides) under uncultured prokaryote. RNAcentral's name for it is "bacterial SSU rRNA". It matches the Rfam family "Bacterial small subunit ribosomal RNA", at positions 355 to 774 of the family's 1533-position model. The record is from RNAcentral.
UGGGGAAUAUUCCGCAAUGGACGAAAGUCUGACGGAGCAACGCCGCGUGAGUGAUGAAGGUUUUCGGACCGUAAAGCUCUGUUGUUUAGGACGAAAGUGCCUGUUGCAAAUAAUUACAGGUAUUGACGGUACUGAACGAGGAAGCCACGGCUAACUACGUGCCAGCAGCCGCGGUAAUACGUAGGUGGCAAGCGUUGUCCGGAAUUAUUGGGCGUAAAGAGCAUGUAGGCGGGAAUCUAAGUCUGUUGUGAAAAUGCGGGGCUCAACCCCGUAUUGCGAUGGAAACUGGGUUGCUUGAGUGCAGGAGAGGAAAGGGGAAUUCCCAGUGUAGCGGUGAAAUGCGUAGAUAUUGGGAGGAACACCAGUGGCGAAGGCGCCUUUCUGGACUGUGUCUGACGCUGAGAUGCGAAAGCCAGGGUAGCGAACG